CCCCGAACGGUGGCAGCAUCAGAUCCCUCCAUCUCGCGGUGCAGGGCCUCCGGUCCGUGCCACGAUGCCGCCGGCAUGGAGGCCCGGGCCGGGUAGCCGCCGCGGUGUCGGGUGCGCCGGCGAGGUCUCUGGGAACCGCGCGGUAGGCGACUGGCGCGGCUUCUGGUCGUUGGUUCCGGCGAUGCCAAGCCGAAGAUCUUAGUCGCUGAGCCACAUCCAUCCGCCGGCCCCGACACCGAGCUCUGGCUGUCCACUGCCCUCAACCUCGAGCUCCGGCCGUCUGCCGCCCACGACCCCGUCCGCCUCGAUCCCCCGACACAGUCCGCAACCUGCCUCGCCUGGAGUCGCGCUCCCCCCUUACCCCGUGUCCCUGCCACCAUGGGUGCUGCAGCCGCCGAUAACUCCGACCCCAGCCACGCAAGGUGGAUGUAGCGGGACUCAGUUAGCAAAGAGGAGGGAAACAGUAGAGGAAGGUCGUGGCGCUGUCGAAGGGCCGUCGUACACGUUUGCUCUCAACGCGUUUGUCGACCUCAAGCACGACGAGUUCGGCGCCACGCGCCUUUGGUGCCUCGCCGUCCGGAGGCUUCGAGGACGCUGCAGGCACCAUGCCCGAUGCGCUGAACCGGAGGUAGAGCGGCGCCGUCACAAAGUUCAAGGACCAAGGCAGCUGCGAAAACAGAGUUGGUUUAAAGCAGACCAGUUGUGCCUGUGUCUGGCUGACGAAUUCAAACCUGAGCUGCAAUUUGGCGGUGACGAAGACGAACCGGAGGGCAAGGGACUCUGCCAUUGUUGCGCAGAAAAAAGAAGGUCUUCUCCCACCACGCCUGACCAGCAUUGCAAGCGACUCUGCCGGGAAGAACAUCCACUGUAGCAGCAGGGGCAAUCAAGGAAGUCACAGCAGCAGAUCCGACAGUAGUAGUGACAUCUGCGGCCGUAGAAGUAGCUAGAGCAUGGGCAUGAUGAGUAGGAGGGUGUUGUGGAUAUGAUCUCCACCUGCUGCGUUAGGGAGAGAGCAUAGCAUGGAGGAUGGUGAGCUACUUGACCAUGGAGGAUGAGUUGUUGUGUGAUGCGUGGCUGGCCGUAUUCAUGGAUUUCAUAGGCAGGACCAGAGGCGAGCCCUUCUGGGAGAAAGUGCAUGAAAAGUUUCACGCACGAAAGCACAUUGCGCCCUACGAUAUGUACAUCAUUUUACCACGCAACAUGAGGUCGUUGUCGCAUCACUGGCACGCUAUCCAGAUCAGCAUCACCAAGUUUUGCGACGUGGUUCGUCAGCUCGAGGCAAGGUGGCCAUUGCACGCGGCAGAGGACGAUCGUUAGUUUUACUUCCUCUUGCUCAACUUGAUGAUCGAUUCAUUCACUCAGUGUUGGUCUACACAUUAUGUAGCUCGCACAUGUUGUCGUGAUGUACCACAGGACAGGGGGCGGCCAUUUACAUGUACACACUGUUCGAUGAAGCUGAAGGGGAAGUAUGUGUGAAAUGGCAUGAUCAGUUGAUGAAAAACUUGUUGAAAAUCCGGGAACUAGUCGAAUUAGACAUAUUGUUGUACUGGACUUAAUUUGCAUGAUAUGUAUGGACGAUUUGUUCUGUUUUUA
Long non-coding RNA from Triticum aestivum (bread wheat), 1593 nucleotides. RefSeq lists it as uncharacterized. The record is from RefSeq and is a predicted model, not a curated record. NCBI's taxonomy places the organism in Eukaryota, Viridiplantae, Streptophyta, Magnoliopsida, Poales, Poaceae. The transcript has 2 exons.